GAUGAACGCUAGCGGCAGGCCUAAUACAUGCAAGACGAACGGUAAGUUGAGUAGCAAUACUUAGCCAAGAGUGUCGUACGGGUGCGUAACACGUAUGCAACCUACCCUAUACAGGAGGAUAGCCUAGGGAAACCUGGAUUAACCCUUCAUAGUAUUAUUGGAUGGCAUCAUUUGAUAAUUAAAACUGAGGUGGUAUAGGAUGGGCAUGCGUCUGAUUAGUUAGUUGGCGGGGUAAUGGCCCACCAAGACGAUGAUCAGUAGGGGUUCUGAGAGGAAGAUCCCCCACACUGGCACUGAGAUACGGGCCAGACUCCUACGGGAGGCAGCAGUAGGGAAUAUUGGUCAAUGGAUGCAAGUCUGAACCAGCCAUGCCGCGUGCAGGAAGAAGGCCUUCUGGGGUUGUAAAACUGCUUUUGCCAGGGGAUAAAAUUUCCAUGCGUGGAAAACUGAAGGUACCUGGUGAAUAAGCCACGGCUAACUACGUGCCAGCAGCCGC
RNAcentral lists this ribosomal RNA (496 nucleotides) under uncultured bacterium. RNAcentral describes it as "bacterial SSU rRNA". It matches the Rfam family "Bacterial small subunit ribosomal RNA", at positions 28 to 518 of the family's 1533-position model. The record is from RNAcentral.